This 470-nucleotide ribosomal RNA is filed under the name uncultured Lachnospiraceae bacterium. RNAcentral's name for it is "bacterial SSU rRNA". It matches the Rfam family "Bacterial small subunit ribosomal RNA", at positions 916 to 1381 of the family's 1533-position model. The record is from RNAcentral. Lineage: Bacteria; Bacillati; Bacillota; Clostridia; Lachnospirales; Lachnospiraceae.
ACGGGGCCCGGCACAAGCAGCGGAGCAUGUGGUUUAAUUUCGAAGCAACGCGAAGAACCUUACCAAGACUUGACAUCCCCUCGACAGCUGUUGAAAGGCAGUGUCUCUUCGGAGCAGGGAGACAGGUGGUGCAUGGUUGUCGUCAGCUCGUGUCGUGAGAUGUUGGGUUAAGUCCCGCAACGAGCGCAACCCUUAUCCUUAGUUACCAGCACGUAAAGGUGGGGACUCUAGGGAGACCGCCGGGGACGACUCGGAGGAAGGUGGGGACGACGUCAAAUCAUCAUGCCCCUUAUGUCUUGGGCUACACACGUGCUACAAUGGCCGCAACAGAGGGAAGCGAGAGCGCAAGCUGGAGCAAAACCCUAAAAAGCGGUCCCAGUUCGGAUUGUGGGCUGCAACCCGCCCACAUGAAGUCGGAGUUGCUAGUAAUCGCGAAUCAGCAUGUCGCGGUGAAUGCGUUCCCGGGCCUU